Molecule: long non-coding RNA, 213 nt
Filed under: Struthio camelus australis
Lineage: Eukaryota; Metazoa; Chordata; Aves; Struthioniformes; Struthionidae
Description: lncRNA (ENSSCUG00000001439.1)
Source: RNAcentral
GAAAUUUGAUGUCUGCGGUGCCCACGUUCAUCCGCCACCAGAGGAAGGGCAGGAAAUCACGUUUCCAAGCGAUCUGACAGCACCACAGAAUCUGACCAAGCCAUGACAACAUGCCAAGAAUGGACUGAAUCAGAAGACCAAGAAGGUCAGCAAGGCGUUUCUCCUGCAGUACCAAGUGCAGUUAACACAGGAGCUCAGUCAGCUAGCACUGCG